Diabrotica virgifera virgifera (western corn rootworm) is the source of this 884-nucleotide long non-coding RNA. RefSeq lists it as uncharacterized. The transcript has 2 exons. NCBI's taxonomy places the organism in Eukaryota, Metazoa, Arthropoda, Insecta, Coleoptera, Chrysomelidae. The record is from RefSeq and is a predicted model, not a curated record.
AGGUCUGUUCCUUUGUUUUUUAGUGUUACACUUUUGAGUGUAAGUGUACGAAAUUCUAUGGACAUUUGAGUGUAAAAUGACAGCGGAUGUGACAGCGGCUCAUGACAGCGGACAGUAUUAAACGAAAAUUAUCGGUGUGCCAAUCAAGCAAAGGGACAAGGAACUUCCGAAUAUGGCCUAACUGGGGGCACAUAACAUAACAUAACCUAAUCCUAAUAUUUACAUUUGUAAAGAAUAUCCUGUUUGUUUUUAUUGUCGAUUGUGCAGCGAAAUUGUGUGCAGCAAAUCAAAUAUAAAGUAGUUUAUCGCCUACAGAACUGAAUUAGUCCAUAGCAGUUAUCAGUUUUUCUUUCUUGGGAAGCUUAUACAUGUAACUUGUAUUGUUGUAAAUUGUGGGAGUAGGGCAGACAGGGAAAAGUCUUAUUUUGUACUGUUCCCAAGGCUCCCCAUGCAAUACAUUUAAAUGAAUUAUCCAAACAAAGCCGGGGACAAUGGAUAAAAGCCACAAGAAGAACAGAUAUAAGGGGACUAAAAUUAAAAUAUGAAAAGUAAACAUUUUAUAAGUGGAACAACCACCAGAUAUUUAAAAGGUAUAAAAAGAAGAAACUGCUGGAAUUUCAAAACAAAUGUGUUUGACUAGUAAAGAUUUGGAUAAAUAACAGGAGUUACUUUGGGCUAUAGCUACGUGCAGAUUUAUUUCCUUGUGGCUUCCUAUGUUAAUUCUUAUUAAUUAUACACUUAAAUAUGUUUUUAGUCUCAGGAAGAUUUUAUAUUUGAUUAUUUUUGAAUAAACAUUAUUAUUAUUAUUACCUUAAUUUCCAUUAAAUAAAUUAACUGUAAUCAAUAAAGUAAUCGUUUAAUUGUUAAUAAAUUAUCAAGUAUGA